Molecule: ribosomal RNA, 467 nt
Filed under: uncultured bacterium
Lineage: Bacteria
Description: partial 16S ribosomal RNA
Rfam family: Bacterial small subunit ribosomal RNA
Source: RNAcentral
GACGAACGCUGGCGGCGUGCUUAACACAUGCAAGUCGAACGGAAAGGCCUGCUUUUGUGGGGUGCUCGAGUGGCGAACGGGUGAGUAACACGUGAGUAACCUGCCCUUGACUUUGGGAUAACUUCAGGAAACUGGGGCUAAUACCGGAUAGGAGCUCCUGCUGCAUGGUGGGGGUUGGAAAGUUUCGGCGGUUGGGGAUGGACUCGCGGCUUAUCAGCUUGUUGGUGGGGUAGUGGCUUACCAAGGCUUUGACGGGUAGCCGGCCUGAGAGGGUGACCGGCGACAUUGGGACUGAGAUACGGCCCAGACUCCUACGGGAGGCAGCAGUGGGGAAUAUUGCACAAUGGGCGGAAGCCUGAUGCAGCAACGCCGCGUGCGGGAUGACGGCCUUCGGGUUGUAAACCGCUUUCGCCUGUGACGAAGCGUGAGUGGCGGUAAUGGGUAAAGAAGCACCGGCUAACUACGUG